UUGAUCCUGGCUCAGGACGAACGCUGGCGGCGUGCCUAAUACAUGCAAGUCGAGCGAGUCUGCCUUGAAGAUCGGAGUGCUUGCACUCUGUGAAACAAGAUACAGGCUAGCGGCGGACGGGUGAGUAACACGUGGGUAACCUGCCCAAGAGAUCGGGAUAACACCUGGAAACAGAUGCUAAUACCGGAUAACAACAGAUGAUGCCUAUCAACUGUUUAAAAGGUGGUUCUGCUAUCACUCUUGGAUGGACCUGCGGUGCAUUAGCUAGUUGGUAGGGUAACGGCCUACCAGGGCGAUGAUGCAUAGCCGAGUUGAGAGACUGAUCGGCCACAUUGGGACUGAGACACGGCCCAAACUCCUACGGGAGGCAGCAGUAGGGAAUCUUCCACAAUGGACGCAAGUCUGAUGGAGCAACGCCGCGUGAGUGAAGAAGGGUUUCGGCUCGUAAAGCUCUGUUGUUGGUGAAGAAGGACAGGGGUAGUAACUGACCUUUGUUUGACGGUAAUCAAUUAGAAAGUCACGGCUAACUACGUGCCAGCCGCCGCGGUAA
This 550-nucleotide ribosomal RNA is filed under the name uncultured Lactobacillaceae bacterium. Its description in RNAcentral is "bacterial SSU rRNA". It matches the Rfam family "Bacterial small subunit ribosomal RNA", at positions 13 to 523 of the family's 1533-position model. The record is from RNAcentral. Lineage: Bacteria; Bacillati; Bacillota; Bacilli; Lactobacillales; Lactobacillaceae.